This 227-nucleotide ribosomal RNA is filed under the name uncultured bacterium. RNAcentral describes it as "partial 16S ribosomal RNA". It matches the Rfam family "Bacterial small subunit ribosomal RNA", at positions 524 to 776 of the family's 1533-position model. The record is from RNAcentral.
UACAAGGAAGACUAGUGUUAUUCAUCUUAAUUAGGUUUAAAGGGUACCUAGACAGUAUUUCUAGCCUCAAAAGGGAACAGACUUACUAGAGUUUUAUGGGAGAGGAAAAUAUUAGAACCAUUGGAGUAGAGAUAAAAUGUUUUGAUACUAAUGGGACGGAUAGCGGCGAAGGCAAACCUCUAUGUAAUAACUGACGUUGAGGGACGAAAGCUAGGGGAGCGAAUGGG